GAGUGCUUGUCAGAAACCUCCCGUGGAGCAGAAGGGCAAAAGCUCGCUUGAUCUUGAUUUUCAGUAUGAAUACAGACCGUGAAAGCG
RNAcentral lists this non-coding RNA (87 nucleotides) under Monodelphis domestica (gray short-tailed opossum). Its description in RNAcentral is "Eukaryotic large subunit ribosomal RNA". It matches the Rfam family "Eukaryotic large subunit ribosomal RNA", at positions 2679 to 2760 of the family's 3401-position model. The record is from Rfam by way of RNAcentral. Lineage: Eukaryota; Metazoa; Chordata; Mammalia; Didelphimorphia; Didelphidae.